This 253-nucleotide ribosomal RNA is filed under the name uncultured bacterium. RNAcentral's name for it is "partial 16S ribosomal RNA". It matches the Rfam family "Bacterial small subunit ribosomal RNA", at positions 524 to 776 of the family's 1533-position model. The record is from RNAcentral.
UACGUAGGAUGCAAGCGUUGUCCGGAAUUAUUGGGCGUAAAGGGUGCGCAGGCGGUUUUUCAAGUCAGAUGUGAAAUCUCCCGGCUUAACUGGGAGGGGCCAUUUGAAACUGGAGGACUAGAGUGCAGGAGAGGAUAGCGGAAUUCCCGGUGUAGUGGUGAAAUGCGUAGAUAUCGGGAGGAACACCAGUGGCGAAGGCGGCAUCCUGGCCCUGUCCUGACGCUCAGGGGCGAAAGCGUGGGGAGCAAACCGG